UACGUAGGGGGCAAGCGUUGUCCGGAUUUAUUGGGCGUAAAGAGCGUGUAGGCGGCCAUACAGGUCAGCUGUGAAAACUCGAGGCUCAACCUCGAGACGUCGGUUGAAACCGUAUGGCUAGAGUCCGGAAGAGGAGAGUGGAAUUCCCGGUGUAGCGGUGAAAUGCGCAGAUAUCGGGAAGAACACCCGUGGCGAAGGCGGCUCUCUGGGACGGUACUGGACGCUGAGACGCGAAAAGCGUGGGGAGCGAACAGG
This 255-nucleotide ribosomal RNA is filed under the name uncultured bacterium. RNAcentral's name for it is "partial 16S ribosomal RNA". It matches the Rfam family "Bacterial small subunit ribosomal RNA", at positions 524 to 776 of the family's 1533-position model. The record is from RNAcentral.